UACGAAUGGGGCGAGCGUUGUUCGGAAUCACUGGGCGUAAAGCGUGCGUAGGCGGAAUUGAAAGUCAGGAGUGAAAUCCCGGGGCUUAACCCCGGAAUUGCUUUUGAAACUUCAAUUCUAGAGUUCUGGAGAGGUAAGGGGAAUUCCGAGUGUAGAGGUGAAAUUCGCAGAUAUUCGGAGGAACACCAGUGGCGAAGGCGCCUUACUGGACAGAUACUGACGCUGAGGUACGAAAGCGUGGGGAGCAAACAGG
RNAcentral lists this ribosomal RNA (253 nucleotides) under uncultured bacterium. RNAcentral's name for it is "partial 16S ribosomal RNA". It matches the Rfam family "Bacterial small subunit ribosomal RNA", at positions 524 to 776 of the family's 1533-position model. The record is from RNAcentral.